UUCCUCUUACCUCAGUUGGUAGAGCGCGUCACUAGUACUGAGGUAUUUUCAUGGCCGAUGACAAGGUCAGUCGUUCAAGUCGGCUAGAGGGAA
Non-coding RNA from Armillaria luteobubalina, 93 nucleotides. Lineage: Eukaryota; Fungi; Basidiomycota; Agaricomycetes; Agaricales; Physalacriaceae. The record is from the annotation of a GenBank genome assembly.